AGGCUUGCAGGUAAAGAAGGUUUCUGUCUUUCAUCACCGAUCUUUUGCUUCUUUCUUCACCAGGGAAAUGAGGAUUCUGUGGAGCCAACUCUUGGGUGCAGUAAGGAAACCAUUAAUAUAGGAAGAAGGAAGAAAUAAUCUCAAGAGGCUGCUUUGACUGUGUCUUUCUGUCACUAAGAGAAUGACUGAUGAACAUCUGCGAACGAUCAGAGACGGACAGAGUGACUCUGCUGAUCUUCAAGAAAGAUUGGGACUUGUUUAUCAGUUUUUCACGACAACAACAACAGGGGCAAAUGUCAGUUGUUGGAUUGAUGAAUUUGGAAGAGUGUUUUCAAAGGCAGAAGUGCAAAAUUCUUACAAUUAGACCCAAGUCUGUCUGUUGAUUUGUUUGUUAAAAUACAUUGUGUGUCUAUCUA
Non-coding RNA from Anolis sagrei ordinatus, 416 nucleotides. Lineage: Eukaryota; Metazoa; Chordata; Lepidosauria; Squamata; Anolidae. The record is from RefSeq and is a predicted model, not a curated record.